RNAcentral lists this ribosomal RNA (492 nucleotides) under uncultured bacterium. RNAcentral's name for it is "partial 16S ribosomal RNA". It matches the Rfam family "Bacterial small subunit ribosomal RNA", at positions 29 to 507 of the family's 1533-position model. The record is from RNAcentral.
AGUGAACGCUGGCGGUAGGCCUAACACAUGCAAGUCGAACGGCAGCACAGUAAGAGCUUGCUCUUACGGGUGGCGAGUGGCGGACGGGUGAGGAAUACAUCGGAAUCUACUUUUUCGUGGGGGAUAACGUAGGGAAACUUACGCUAAUACCGCAUACGACCUACGGGUGAAAGCAGGGGAUCUUCGGACCUUGCGCGAAUGAAUGAGCCGAUGUCGGAUUAGCUAGUUGGCGGGGUAAAGGCCCACCAAGGCGACGAUCCGUAGCUGGUCUGAGAGGAUGAUCAGCCACACUGGAACUGAGACACGGUCCAGACUCCUACGGGAGGCAGCAGUGGGGAAUAUUGGACAAUGAGCGCAAGCCUGAUCCAGCCAUACCGCGUGGGUGAAGAAGGCCUUCGGGUUGUAAAGCCCUUUUGUUGGGAAAGAAAAGCAGCAGGUUAAUACCCCGCUGUUCUGACGGUACCCAAAGAAUAAGCACCGGCUAACUUCGUG